This 801-nucleotide ribosomal RNA is filed under the name uncultured bacterium. RNAcentral's name for it is "bacterial SSU rRNA". It matches the Rfam family "Bacterial small subunit ribosomal RNA", at positions 69 to 854 of the family's 1533-position model. The record is from RNAcentral.
CAGAAGGGAGCUUGCUCCCGGAUGUUAGCGGCGGACGGGUGAGUAACACGUGGGUAACCUGCCUGUAAGACUGGGAUAACUCCGGGAAACCGGAGCUAAUACCGGAUAGUUCCUUGAACCGCAUGGUUCAAGGAUGAAAGACGGUUUCGGCUGUCACUUACAGAUGGACCCGCGGCGCAUUAGCUAGUUGGUGAGGUAACGGCUCACCAAGGCGACGAUGCGUAGCCGACCUGAGAGGGUGAUCGGCCACACUGGGACUGAGACACGGCCCAGACUCCUACGGGAGGCAGCAGUAGGGAAUCUUCCGCAAUGGACGAAAGUCUGACGGAGCAACGCCGCGUGAGUGAUGAAGGUUUUCGGAUCGUAAAGCUCUGUUGUUAGGGAAGAACAAGUGCAAGAGUAACUGCUUGCACCUUGACGGUACCUAACCAGAAAGCCACGGCUAACUACGUGCCAGCAGCCGCGGUAAUACGUAGGUGGCAAGCGUUGUCCGGAAUUAUUGGGCGUAAAGGGCUCGCAGGCGGUUUCUUAAGUCUGAUGUGAAAGCCCCCGGCUCAACCGGGGAGGGUCAUUGGAAACUGGGAAACUUGAGUGCAGAAGAGGAGAGUGGAAUUCCACGUGUAGCGGUGAAAUGCGUAGAGAUGUGGAGGAACACCAGUGGCGAAGGCGACUCUCUGGUCUGUAACUGACGCUGAGGAGCGAAAGCGUGGGGAGCGAACAGGAUUAGAUACCCUGGUAGUCCACGCCGUAAACGAUGAGUGCUAAGUGUUAGGGGGUUUCCGCCCCUUAGUGCUGCAGCUA